This 255-nucleotide long non-coding RNA is filed under the name Elaeis guineensis (African oil palm). Its description in RNAcentral is "long non-coding RNA (EGUI_LNC048698)". The record is from RNAcentral. Lineage: Eukaryota; Viridiplantae; Streptophyta; Magnoliopsida; Arecales; Arecaceae.
CAGUUGAAGGAGAAAAUCCGAUUCAGAUCGGAUCUCCAGGGUGCAUUUGAACAAUUCUUAUUCUAAAAUUUUUAUAAUCUUUAUGAUUAUCUGAUAUGCAAUGAAGAUGGGAUCAAGAUUCUCAAGGGUUUCUUGAAUCAGAUGCCUCACAAGAUCUGAAAGUACAGACCCUCUACUUCUCACGCAUGCCAGGCACCACAGGAAAGAGAGAUGUUCCUUGGGAUGUCACUCCUUCGGAAGUAUAGCAAGGGAGGG